Molecule: long non-coding RNA, 2900 nt
Organism: Sparus aurata (gilthead seabream)
Lineage: Eukaryota; Metazoa; Chordata; Actinopteri; Spariformes; Sparidae
Source: Ensembl
AUGACUGCCCUGCCUUAUUACCGCGAGGCUGUGAGGCGUUCACGGUUUCCCCGAAGUCAUGUGAUUUGGAGUUUCCCCGAUGCGACGUUUAACUUCAAGGUUAUUUGGAGGCUUGUUUGUACCCGAACGCACACACCUGAGGAGCGCGCACGGAGUCGAGAGGGUAGUGGUCGCACUGAACGGGCUCUGUGGCAAAAUGAGAAUCCAGCUGAAAGUGCAUUCACCCACAGGACAGGAGAGGAUCAUCGACCUGUGCGACAGCGAGGCGCAGCUGAGGAAGAUCACCGUGAUGCAGCUGAAAGACAAACUGACUCGGGAGCUAAUGAUAAAGGAAGACAUCCGGAUAAUCUUCAGAACCGGGUGGCUGGAGGAAACAUCCCUGCUGUCCUCCUACGGCAUCCGACACAUGUCCACCAUCCAAACUGUGCUGAAGUUACACGGAGGCCUCUGAUGUGGACCGGACGCAGGAGGAAAACAACCCACACACUCUGGACACUGGUCACUGCUAGACCAAUAAUGUUAUGAGAUAUAAAGAAAAAGAACUGAACCGUUAAAACAAAUAAUAUGUUAUCGGACUUAAAGGUGUUCUCAUCUCACAGCUCAGUGUCUCUAAAUGCUUAAUUAAGUGUGUUCAGAGGGGUACUAUAGCAACUCCAUAUUUGAGUCACAUUAAAGGGGCACUAUGUGGUUUUGGGAAGAGAAAGAUCUUCAUCGACCGAUUUUUGACCCUAAAGGACAACACUCGUACUGUUUUACUUUGUUUCUGUGUGGUGGACCCUGCCACCUUUCUACUUUCAAACAGUGUUCUUGGACCUUAUUUACCUCUGAGAACAGCUUGUUUAUUAGUUAUGGGAAAAAUUUAUGUUUUUGAGGUUGUAUUAUUACCUCUUUAAUACUGUAAAAUGUUAAAUAAAAAAAAAAAUGCAUGGAGUGCUGCUUGGGUGUGGGAAAAAAAGGGGCGGCUGUCAGAGGGUAGAGCGGGUCGUCCAGUGAUCGGAAGAUCACCAGUUCGAAUCCCGGUUCCCCCUAGCUGCAUGCCAAAGUGUCCUUGAGCAAGAUACUGAACCCCAAACCUCCUGAUGAGCAGUUGGCGCCUUGCAUGGCAGCCUCCGUCAUCAGUGUAUGAAUGGGUGGCAUGUAUUGUAGAGCACUUUUGAGUUGUUGUUGCGCUGGAAAAGCGCUAUAAAAAUGCAGACCAUUUACCAUCUGGUGCUCUUCAGGUUAGGGAUCCAAGUAGAACUUAUAAGAGAAGAUCAUUAUACUCAAGAGGAUAAUGAUUUAAAAAGCCUUUAUUAGUACAUGGCUAGUCUUACAACAACAUGCUAACGCGGCUUUUUAAAUCAUUAUCCUCUUAUGCCUCUAGUGCCUCAAAUCUUCCAUUAUAAUUAUCUACUGUAAAUUCUUAGUUCUUAGUUUCCUAGUGCCCCUUUAACCAUGAUUUGGAACUGAUCAAAUAUCCUUCCAAUGUUACCUUACUGGUCAUUAAAUGUGAUUAAAGAACAUUUUAUUUCUGAAUAAUCCAAAUAGCCAGGCCAAGUAACAGCCUACUUAUGGGAUAAUUAGUUGCGUGACCUAGAUACUUAUCAUGACUCACCUCUUGGCUGAUGGACAGCUUCUUUAAAAAACAGUUUUGACAAAAGAAUAAAAACUCCCUCAGCUCUUUGUCACCCAUAAAAAGACGAUAGUAGGCCUACUUUUUAAAAAGAAAAUAUAGUACAUUUCUCAAAUUAGCUGUCUUUACGGUUUAGAAGGCUACAUUUGCUUGCCUGCUUGCUCAGGACCUGACAUGAAGAGGUUGUUGUAUAAUCACUUCAGUUGCUGGAUUUGUCGUCACUGAAUUAUUUCAACGAUUUGGCUUGUUGGGGAAACUUCCUGGAACACAAGAGAGGGGGAAAACCUGCAGCUUCAGUGUCGUCUGAUGGCAAUCAGACAAGUAUCGGAUGUGAGGAGAGCAUUAAUAAAGUUUGUGUGCUAUGUUAAAGAGAUGAUAAUACAGCAUGUGGAUAGAAUUAGGCGUGCAGCAAAUGCAGUGAACUGAGCACGAACAACUCCUCUGUCAAAUAAAAUCACCCCAAGCAACAUGUGUGUCAUCAUUCCUGCCAGUCAGGUGGUUCUUCUUCCUUGACAUGAAUCUGGCGGAUGCUUCAUUGUAACUGGGUGUGUCAGUCACCAUGUUUACUUGCACAGAUGACUGAGACAUCUUGAAUGACUUGGUUUAUAGAUUUACAGUGAACACCAUGACAUCCACCAUAUUAGCUGCUAAAAAUGGUCCUAACAAAGACUGUGAAGUUAAUUAUGAGUGAGUGAGUGAGCAAGUGAGAAACACUGAACUGAAGCUAAGAGAGUUUUGUCCAGGAGACGAGCUACUGCACAUACCUGAAUGUGGUUGGACUACAUUCUGUCAACAGGUGUAUAAAAAGGGAACAAGGAUGUGUUUUUGAUUUACUGAAAAUGACUGGAAUGAAAAAAAAGAACAACAACAACCACAGGAAUGUAGCUGUUCUUCAUUCUGGUGGUUGAUGGGAAAAGAGUCGCAGAGCAUGACCUCACUCUGACGUUCCCUCCCGAGCCAAUAGGAGGCUCUCAUUGUCUCUCACAGAAAAUCUGCACCGGGUAGGCUAACACCUAAUUCCCUUUUCUUCUUUACCAGCACAGAAGACACUUUCUUCGGUAGCUACAUUUAAAUGUUGAUCCUCGGAUCCUCUGAAUGAAGCAGGUUUAACUACAUAUUUUUAUUGGCAAGGCUGUUAGUGAGCUCAAGACACAGAGGAAGCCACAUCCUCCACUGAACCUGACUGAUUUCUCUGACGACCAGCCGCCUGUAAGUAUAACCAGAGUCUUCUCUUUAUUUUUUCACAGCUGAAGUAUCCCCAGUCCUGCUGUUUUAAAGUCGUUCAAUU